AAACUUUCAACAACGGAUCUCUUGGUUCUGGCAUCGAUGAAGAACGCAGCGAAAUGCGAUAAGUAAUGUGAAUUGCAGAAUUCAGUGAAUCAUCGAAUCUUUGAACGCACAUUGCGCCCCCCAGCAUUCUGGCGGGCAUGCCUGUCCGAGCGUCAUUU
RNAcentral lists this ribosomal RNA (158 nucleotides) under Purpureocillium lilacinum. RNAcentral describes it as "5.8S ribosomal RNA". It matches the Rfam family "5.8S ribosomal RNA". Rfam says of the family: 5.8S ribosomal RNA (5.8S rRNA) is a component of the large subunit of the eukaryotic ribosome. It is transcribed by RNA polymerase I as part of the 45S precursor that also contains 18S and 28S rRNA. Functionally, it is thought that 5.8S rRNA may be involved in ribosome translocation. Lineage: Eukaryota; Fungi; Ascomycota; Sordariomycetes; Hypocreales; Ophiocordycipitaceae. The record is from RNAcentral.